CUUGACAUAAUAAACAUAGGGGGUCCUGCCUGCCCAGUGACUGAAAAGUUAAACGGCCGCGGUAUCUUGACCGUGCGAAGGUAGCAUAAUCAUUUGUCUCCUAAAUAGAGACUGGUAUGAAUGGCAAGACGGAGCUCCACUGUCUCCUCCUCUUUAAUCUGAACUUCACAUUCCCGUGAAGAGGCGGGAAUUAGUUCGUAAGACGAGAAGACCCUGUCGAGCUGUAGUUAAACUUUAAUUGUUACUCACCCUUAAGCCUAACUAAUAAUAUUAAAAAUAGUAGACCUUAAGGUAUAGCAAGUUAAAACAAGCUUUGAUUGGGGCAAUCCCGGAGAAAGAAAAUCCUCCGUUACUAUAUGGUUAUAUUUAAUCUAAAAUAAAAGAAUUAUUAUUCUUAAAGCAUAAAAUGAAGACGUGAUCCACUUACAGUGAUCAAAAGAACAAG
This 445-nucleotide ribosomal RNA is filed under the name Echinocardium sp. EflavH8. RNAcentral describes it as "partial 16S ribosomal RNA". It matches the Rfam family "Bacterial large subunit ribosomal RNA", at positions 1830 to 2462 of the family's 2925-position model. Lineage: Eukaryota; Metazoa; Echinodermata; Echinoidea; Spatangoida; Loveniidae. The record is from RNAcentral.